This 407-nucleotide ribosomal RNA is filed under the name uncultured bacterium. RNAcentral describes it as "bacterial SSU rRNA". It matches the Rfam family "Bacterial small subunit ribosomal RNA", at positions 355 to 759 of the family's 1533-position model. The record is from RNAcentral.
UGAGGAAUAUUGGACAAUGGAUGGAAAUCUGAUCCAGCCAUGCCGCGUGAAGGACGACGGUCCUAUGGAUUGUAAACUUCUUUUGUAUGGGAGCAAUAAGGUCUACGUGUAGAUCGAUGAGAGUACCAUACGAAUAAGCAUCGGCUAACUCCGUGCCAGUAGCCGCGGUAAUACGGAGGAUGCGAGCGUUAUCCGGAUUUAUUGGGUUUAAAGGGUGCGUAGGCGGUUGUAUAAGUCAGCGGUGAAAUUUUCCGGCUUAACCGGGGGACGGCCGUUGAUACUGUAAAGCUUGAAUCCGGUUGCUGUGAGUGAAAUGGGUGGUGUGGCGGUGAAAUGCAUAGUUAUCACACAGAAGAUCGAUUGCGAAGGCAGCUCACAAAGCCGUUAUUGACGCUGAUGCACGAAAG